Non-coding RNA from Paramuricea clavata, 1057 nucleotides. NCBI's taxonomy places the organism in Eukaryota, Metazoa, Cnidaria, Anthozoa, Malacalcyonacea, Plexauridae. The record is from the annotation of a GenBank genome assembly.
CAGCAUUAUGACGUGACUUCGUUAAAUAUUAUCUCAGAGUUCCUUGUUUAGUCAACUGAGUUGAUAUGGCGAUUUUACAGUUGGCUGUUAGCCAGUCAGAAACAAUGAAUCCUUUAAAUACCUCCUUUUACCCCCAAAUUCCUCCCAAAUUUAUUUUCCUUUAUUUCAGCUAUUAUCAAAGAUGUUUAUCCGCGGAAACCAUCCAUUGUGUCAAAAUACGCUCUACCAGUGAUGUGGAAACUUCUCGAGUCUUCGAGCAGUGCAUCGACUGGCAGUGGAAAUAUGAAGGAAGCCGUUCACGGUUUGGCUAACCUACUUUAUUCUUUAAUGGGACAAUCUCUGUUUGAGCAGGCUCAAGCAAAGUCGCACAGAUUACGUCAAAAGCUCAAAGAGCUAUUGGGUCAAUGACUGGAUCAAUGAUUGACAAUCUGCUUUGUGAGCAGAGAAUGUUGGAAUGAGGUCCAGGCCACCUUCCAUAAAAGGCAGUUACACACACAGAGAAAAUUCCGUCCCGCCAACACGCUGAGCUUUUGCCGCGUUCGAUCUGGUCACCAUUAGCUCAGCUUCGGCCGUACACCAACAGUCAGAACAUGAAAACUGGCCGAAUUGGGCUCACUACUGCUCGGAUAUUUUGCUCUUGCUUACGAUAGAUUCUCUAUCAAGACCGUCUCUCCUUCAGACAAUAAUAUAAGCUCCUAUUCGUUAGGGGUAGCCUUUUGGUAAUAACUUCCACGCUUAUUUUAGAGGGAGAAAUCUAUAAGCCCGCGCCCAUCCCUGGCCAAUAUGCCAUUCGCUAUUGGUCCACUCUCCAAGAAAGCCCUCUCCCUCAAGCGUGUUUGAAACAACUAAUCCCCCCGGAGACUUGAUAUAGGAUUUACCGUCAGGAAUGGAAGGUGGUGGUCGCCUUUUAUAAAAAAAACUUCCCUGGUGUUGACAAGUUGUCUUAAAAGAGAGUUGUAUAAUAUUUAAUAUAUUAAUAAUGUUUUUAACAUUUGUACAUACACAAUGCGUGAACAUUUUAAAAAGAGUGAAAAUUCAAUUUGAAUUUAUACAUGGC